This 253-nucleotide ribosomal RNA is filed under the name Vibrio alginolyticus. Its description in RNAcentral is "partial 23S ribosomal RNA". It matches the Rfam family "Bacterial large subunit ribosomal RNA", at positions 460 to 715 of the family's 2925-position model. The record is from RNAcentral. Lineage: Bacteria; Pseudomonadati; Pseudomonadota; Gammaproteobacteria; Vibrionales; Vibrionaceae. RNAcentral also lists the same sequence under 1 other name.
CCAAGGCUAAAUACUACUGACUGACCGAUAGUGAACCAGUACCGUGAGGGAAAGGCGAAAAGAACCCCUGUGAGGGGAGUGAAAUAGAACCUGAAACCGUGUACGUACAAGCAGUAGGAGCAGGCUUUGUCCUGUGACUGCGUACCUUUUGUAUAAUGGGUCAGCGACUUAUAUUCAGUGGCAAGGUUAACCAUCUAGGGGAGCCGUAGGGAAACCGAGUCUUAACUGGGCGUUCAGUCUCUGGAUAUAGACC